UAAGGCUUGAUUCGGGUUUAAGAACAUG
Molecule: non-coding RNA, 28 nt
Filed under: Mus musculus (house mouse)
Lineage: Eukaryota; Metazoa; Chordata; Mammalia; Rodentia; Muridae
Source: RNAcentral